GCCAGUGUGGCAUAGUGGUUUGAGUGUUGGGCUAUGACUCUGGAGACCAGGGUUCGAGUUCCAGCUCAGCCA
Non-coding RNA from Phrynosoma platyrhinos (Desert horned lizard), 72 nucleotides. Lineage: Eukaryota; Metazoa; Chordata; Lepidosauria; Squamata; Phrynosomatidae. The record is from the annotation of a GenBank genome assembly.